CCUGGCUUCCCUGGGGGUCCUCAGCACUGACAUGGGACCUGGUACUGAGCUGGCAUCUUGGUACUGAGCUGGAUAUAUGCUGAAUGAGCAAUGGUUGUGCUGGGCAGAGGAUUGUGGCAGAGGCUCUCUGGAGAUGCAGACAUGAAAUCCCACUCUUGACCCCAAAUGUCAUUUUCCAGCUCAGAAUGAGCAUGAAGAAAGUGCAGGUAAGAAAUUCAGGGAAGUUGGGGGCACACAGUCACCUUUUUUUUUC
This 253-nucleotide long non-coding RNA is filed under the name Chinchilla lanigera (long-tailed chinchilla). RNAcentral describes it as "lncRNA (ENSCLAG00000023625.1)". Lineage: Eukaryota; Metazoa; Chordata; Mammalia; Rodentia; Chinchillidae. The record is from RNAcentral.